This 253-nucleotide ribosomal RNA is filed under the name uncultured bacterium. RNAcentral's name for it is "partial 16S ribosomal RNA". It matches the Rfam family "Bacterial small subunit ribosomal RNA", at positions 524 to 776 of the family's 1533-position model. The record is from RNAcentral.
UACGUAGGGAGCAAGCGUUGUCCGGAAUCAUUGGGCGUAAAGCGCGCGUAGGUGGCUUCGUAAGUCCGUUGUGAAAGUCAAAGGCUCAACCUUUGAAAGCCGAUGGAUACUGCGGAGCUAGAGUACGGAAGAGGCGAGUGGAAUUCCUGGUGUAGCGGUGGAAUGCGCAGAUAUCAGGAGGAACACCGAUGGCGAAGGCAGGUCACUGGGCCGCAACUGACGCUGAGGAGCGAAAGCAUGGGGAGCGAACAGG